CCCCUCGGUGACCACAACCUCGACGGCCAACUCAUCAGCUCCGACUCCAGUCACCCCGGCUGCGGCGGCUGACUCGCCACCCACCCCCUCCAUAGACCUCCUCGGCCGCCAGCUCGCAGCAGGGGACUACCGCCAGGCCGAUGAGACCACCCGUGCGCUCCUCAUCGAGCUCGCAGGGGAGUCCGCACGGCGCCGAGGGUACGUCUUCUUCUCCGAGGUCCAGUUCAUCUCUGCUGAGGACCUCCAGGCCAUUGACAAGCUCUGGAAGGAGCACAGCAAUGGCAAGUUCGGGUACAGUGUUCAGCGUCGGCUUUGGGAGAAGUCACGGCGUGACUUCACCCGCUUCUUCAUCAAGGUUGGCUGGAUGAAGAAGCUAGACACCGAGAUAGAGCAGUACAACUACAGAGCGUUCCCUGAUGAGUUCAUGUGGGAGAUUAAGGAUGACACACCUGAGGGUCACCUGCCGCUCACCAAUGCCCUCAGGGGGACACAGCUCCUGGGGAACAUCCUCACCCACCCGGCCUUUGAGGAGAGCCAGGAAGACGAAGCCACAGCAGAGAGUGCCACCAGUGGUCAGAGCACAGAUGAUAACAAAGGGAAGGAGAGACCAAAGUUUAUGAGAGAUUUCAAGCCUAACUACUCGUUUUGAGGCUGGCCAAAAAUGGCAUGGGUGUUUGUGAUGCAGAGAUGCUGGCAUGGUGCAAUUGAUUUAAAAGAACAUGUAUCUGUAGUUCUGUUUGUCUUACUUUGUCUUGAACAUGCAUGAAAAAAUGUGCAAUAUAUUAUGAGUAUAAUUGGUUCAGGUGUUUGCUCUGCACAUGAAUGAUGCUUGCAGACAAGAAAGUGUAACAGCCUGCGCAGGACAGCCACAAAUCUAAAUUAUGAGGAAAGCAUGGAUGCAAUGCAUCUCGCACUCGAUGGUAUGUAUAUAGCGAUAGAGUAACGCAUUACCGAUGCUGCAUGCAUUCAUUCAGCAGGCAACAUCCUUCCAAAUACCAUGCAAAGAUUUGCAGGUACCCCAUUUCCUUCUGCAUCCAUGAUCCUGCCCGAAAAUAGGAGCAGAAUAGGAUGUUUGUGUUUGAGGGCUUGAAGCAACCAGUACACAGAAUGGUUGUUCAUCAUGGGGGUGAUGGAGAACCACUGGUUUUCAGCUUAUCGUCUCCACUUGUUUCCUGUCCAGUGAAUGUGACUGACGUGAGAAAACCUACUCUGUCCAUAUCUUGGCAAUUAAAUGAGUCUAUAGCAUGAUAGAAACUUUUUCAGGGAAAACUACCUCUCUAAUCUCUGAUGUAUGUCACAUUCCUUUUUUCCUUCUCAUGCGCAUGGACAGAGCCUCCGGGUAUGCUGAUGUGAACCGUCACAUGUGAGCCGUUCAUCCAUCUGCAUGUAUAAGCAUGCUCCUGGAUUCUGAAAUAGAAGCCAAAUGAAAAUCAGUUCCACAUUUUAACUAUGAUUAUUUUAUGUUUACAUGCACAACAUCAAUGUAGAAAGCACCACCACAACUGAAAAUUUCAAGUCAAUAGGCAGUACAGGCAUUCCCUCAUGCAGCAUUGCGAGCUUAACAACUGCAGUCACUAAUGUUACUCAAUUGCGUAUUUCACUGGGGUCCAAUGCAUAGAUAUCAUAAGCAAGGAAUCCACUGAAAUUUUGUACUAUUUCAAUUACAAUAAAGGAGACAAAGUUAACUAUCAGCCAUCUAAUUUUGCAUAGCAGGGAUAUCAUGAGACAUUGAUUGUGAAAACAAACAACAAUGAUAAUAAUACGUAAUAUUCCUUUCAGAAGGUAUCGGACAAAACGAUGAAGAAAGAGGUGAACACAACUUAGGUGGCUUUGGGGACUGAUGUUGAUGCAAUAAUUUUUGUCAAAAGUAAUCUGAUAAAUUUCUCAUCAAUCCAUCAAAUCCUCUCAUAUAUCUCCACCCACUGUCAUAUGUGAAUCUCUAAAUCUUGCAUCCAAAUGCCAUUUGAGAUGCCACCAAGUAGAUGCUUGUGGUGCUGACCCAACUUUGUCAGUGUCAAAGCAGAGAAAUGAUAAUAUCUGAAACAUAAUAGUUUAAACAUAUAAAGAGUGUUCAAAUUGAAGCUGAAUUUGUUCAGAUGUAUCCAAUGAGGCAGUGGAAUCAGAGAUGGCAUGAUCAAUAAUGAAUUUUAUGAGGUGAGAAGUUUGUCAACUCCCAAAAGUUUAUGUAACGAUACCCUUCAGAUGGGCAAGGAUUACGUUAUGCAGAUAAACAGAUUGGAAGCCAUGGUAUCUCUCUAAUUAAGAAUCUAUGUAUUGCAAAGAAAGUAGGAUCAUAUCUUUAAGUUCCCAUUUAUAAUUGACUUAAGGGUCAAAAUAUCUCCCUCUAUAUAGAGUGAGGGGAUAUAUAGUAUUUAGGUUCAUUCAGGAGAAGCAAAGGGCUUAGCCAUGGCCACCGCAUUCCCCUCCCUCCUAAAUUCCUAAGCACUAACACUUUGUUAGUAAGUUGGCUGACUAUUUUUCAGAAAUUGGCAUAAGCGCAGCAUUGAGUGGCAGUUUGAAGUAUGUGCAUUUUUUCUCGAACGACGCAUGAGAGCUGCGUGUCAUUUCAUUUAAGGAAGAAAGAAGUAUGGGCACAAACAGCAUAACCAGAAGAGUGACCCAUAUAACCUGAGCUGUGAGAACUGAGAACAUCGGAUCAAACCUUUUAACAGUAUGCAUGUGGUGAAACUGCUAGAGAUGAAACUGAGAUAAACAAUAGUCCAAGAAAAAAAAACAUAAGUCAUAUUAUUCAUACCAAGCUGGUCGGAGCUUCAUCAACAACUUCAGCAGGCUGAUCUGGUCCAAGGCUGCGAAAGCAGCCGCUUUUGCAUCUCAUAUAUUUCUGCAAACUGGUUUGAACAAUUGAGUGCAAGCGAUCAUUAUCUUGCAUGGAUGUACAAACAGAAAACACACAGACACGAAUAUUGCUCCAGUUUGUAUUAUCUAAUUUCCACCAAGAAAAUUUCCCUUGGAUGAUGAUGUAACAUGAAUGAGUUUAUUGAGCAUCAAGUGAGGAUAUGAUGAUAGAUCUAUUUUCACAGCAAGAAACAAAAUCUAGAAGUAACAAGCUGCUAUAUGGCAAGCUGCCAAGCUAACACAAGUAAUUAUAAACAAGAACAGAUACUUCCUAUCAUGAAAGACCAACUAACAAAAUGAUAAAAAUAACAAGGUACAUAAGAUCCGGAGGAGGUCCAUAGCGAAUUUGCCUGAUAAUUUAUAUUAACGAUAUUAGUGAUUGUGCUCAUGCAGGUUUAAUAAAAGUUAUGUCUGCUUUACAUUGGAGCCAGAUGUGCCCUUCAAUUUUCAGUGAGUCUUAUACAUGAUAUAAAAUUAUCUCAAUGAAAACUUGUGUUGAUGCUGGUGGAUUGAAAACAGUUGAGAAGUAAGACAUGUAAAUAGCAAAAGAAACUUUUCAAGUUUUUAGGUGACAGCUUGGAAUGUUUCAGGCGUCACUUUAAUACUGACGGACUCAUCCAGAUACAGUCUACUGUUGGCUGUUAAAUUAAGUUAGGUUCUGAGUAAUCUCUUGGUCAACAUUUACUUCAAGCCCACCCCCGAUACAAUGAAAAUGUAACUUCCUAUGUGACUAGUCAGCUAAAAAGUAAUUGUUAUAGCAUGGCAUGUGUGUCAUUUGCAAUUGAAGAAUAAUUGACUGAACUGUAACGGUGACAUGUUAUUUGAAGAUAAUCAAUUGGACUUACAUCUCACAUUUGUUCAAGACAGAGAGCCUGCUUGGAACACAUGACUGUCCUCUUACUUUGCAAACCAAGCUGCAAGAUUCCCCUGGCCUAAAAUUCAUUUGAGAUCCAUAAAGCAGUUCCUAGGUUCUCAUUCACUUUACAGAUAUGUGCUUAAAGUGGAAAGGCCUUACCUUCCUACUACGACGUUAAUGCCCAACAACUUUGAUACAGAACUAGAUUCAGUUGAUCCUGCAGAAUAUUUACAUUCCAUGAUCAUUUCCAAUCAUAUAAUUCAAAACAAUGCAUCAUGGGCACUAGUAAUGGACCAAUAGACAGAAAGGUACCAGAUUGUGAGCUGCUAGCACAGACUGUCCAGAUUUUAGUCAAAGAUAAUAAGGGAAGAUCUUAUCACUAUCAAAGUUCUCAAGCAUCCAUUUAUAAAGACAAUAAGUUAAUAAACGGCUAUCAAUGUCAUAAUUUUCCCUAGGAUUGAUUCCAGGACAUACCCUAAGUUACAUAUUUUCUGGUAUGGCUAAUGCUGCUACACUGUUGAAGAGGCCAGGAGAUGGCUAGUCAAAAGCUAAUUGCCAUAGCAAGUUGGCCCUACCUGUAUCUAUAUAAAUCGCUACUUAUGGCUCAUGUCACAUUAGCUUCAGCGGAGCUGAACCAGACUAUUCGAAACGGGAAGGAGGUAAAACUGGGCUAUUUUCCACUCCUAGUGGGGAUUUGGAUGUUUCAAAAUAUUAACAUGCACAUGGAUAUGAAUCCCAAGGGUAGAGAGUAUUAGUGUUUACUUAAAUAAUUCAGUUCUAGCAGUAAUGAUCUGAGAACAUGGUAGUUUAGGUCUACCAGUAAUGAUCUGUGAACAUGUUACAACUGAAGUUGUAUUAUGAAAUACAAUUCAUAGUAUGGACUCAUACCCGAAGAAUUUUGCUGCAUGGCAAAACAAUGAUGGAAGUCACUGGCGUAGGCAUUCUCAUGAACCUUGUAAAUGGAAAGAACAAAUUAAUUAGACUGAACUAUUUGGACAAGCAGUUGUUGUAACUAAUAUUAAAAAAUAUGAAACUGCCACAACUCCUCAUUUUAGGUAAAACAAGUGAGGUAUGACAUAAAGUAGAAGAAUUGUUGUAUUGGUACUCUAUGGGGGAGGAAAAAGCAGUACCACACUUGCAGAGUUAUGGCGGCAUCUUCCCAUGCAGAAAUCAAAAACAUUUGUGUAUGUUCCUGAAGAAAACUAAUUGUAAACUUCAUGCACCAUAUUACGAAUUCACCAAUUAAUAACUUCACACAUCUUACCAGCAGUAACUGGCUUAGCUACCUUCAGCUUCAGCACAUCUUCUUUCUUGGUCUGACAAAAAGGGCAAGUAAAAAGUUUAAUACAAUUCAUUUUUGUAUGCCAGACCUGGUACUCCUUGUUAGGAUUUACCUUAGAAGGAUUCAAACAGCAAGAAACACAAUAUUCAUAAGAGUUGCAGCACUGUAAAUCAAGUUUGCAGCCCCUGGAUUAUGUCAUGAAGACUUAUGUCAGGUUGACAGGGUUAACUAGUUCAGAUGGAGUGUUGCAUAUAAGGUGCGACAAAAGAUAGGAAACUCACUGGCAGGAAAAGCGAUCCCUUGUUGUUGGGCAGCAGUGAGACCAUGGAUUGAUUGAAAGUGCAGAGCACACAUAACCUACAAGGGAAAGUGGUUUAUCAGUGAGAAAUGGUUGAAGGAUAGUGCAGCAUUGACAGGAAAAAUAAUCUAAGCAAGACAAAGGAACAGGAGUAUUGCCAUUAUCAUCAGAGAUCAGAUGCCGUCCCUGAACAGUGCUUCUGCAUAUAAUUGGUUCAAUAAAGCUGUCCUUCCUGCGCAACAUUUAAAGGCCUGUCCUUAGCUUUACUUGAAAUAUACACAGCAAAAUAGCUCUCAUAUUCGGAAUGACAAGAAUGUCCCAAUACUAGACUGAUACACAUGCUGCAUUAUGCAAUGAAAACUUUGUCCUGGUCCCAGAAACAAGGUUAAAGCGCAAUAUGAUUACUGAACUAGUACCUAGUAUCUGGAAGUAUUUUUCAUCAAUCACCAUCCCUACCCAACUUUUAUCUAUAUAUAUCUUUCUUACUAGCCUAAUCUACACUCCUCCCUUCCAAAAUUCCAUCCACACUAAGCUUCCUCAUUGCUUCUCUCUUCCAAUCCUACCUCACUACCAGCCCUUCUGCUAGUGAUUUGUGAUAUUGCACGAAAAUCAAACGGCCCAAUGACAGAGGACCCCACUGACCAUGAAAACAUUGUCAAAGAUUAGUGGCAUUUACCUGUGUGCAUCGGCACAGAUAGCUACCGUUCCCAUACUCCCCAAUCAGUGGCUCUAGCAUGAACAAAUAGAACCGUGUCGAAACAUAAACAUAAAAGCAUCCUGAUUUUAUAAAAGUAAAAUUAGCUAGGCAUACACACAAUUUCCCCCUCACAGUAUACAGAUCAACAGAAUCAAGCUUGAGGUCCGUCCCAAUCCGUGACCAAGUGAAUCCUAACUAGUCUGAAUGCUAGCCUUCUCUACAGAGAACCUUUUUUAUGCCGAGAGCUGAACUGACCGCGACGAGCACGGGGGCAAAGAGAUUUGGGUCCUCUAGCAUAGCAAAGCCAGCAAGGGAAGUGCGGAGCUCACCGGAUACCGGAGACCGGGGCGGGAAAGCAGGCGCAUGCGGCGACGGCGAAGGCGGCGGCGAGACGGAGGAUCCGGCGGAGGAGGGGGCGCGGGCCAGCCAUCCCGCCGGCGGGAUCGGAGAGGCGAAAGGAAUGGGGAGGAGCGGAAGGACGGAGUCGGGAGUGUUCAGGCCGUGCCGACGUGGCAGAGCCGUUUGGCUGCUGAAUUAAAAUUUGAAAUUUGGGAAUGGCCAAAAUGAAAAUGCAAAGGAAUCCAGCAUUCAUGUUUGAGAGAAGCCUCCAACAUAAUAAUUUUUUUAAAAAAAUCCAUUUUAACCAUCAUUAGUGUAGAAUUGGACAACAUAAUUAAGAGUUUGCAAUCUUAUCUCUAUCUCUUCAACAACAAGUCCCUUUACAAUAUUAAUAAGGAAAAAAAGCAUGCAUUACCUCCGGUGAUCUCUAACAAAAAUCUAAAACUCAAUCUCCACAAACCAGAAGCUAAACCCCCUCGACCCUAUACUAGUCUGGCUUUUGUAUUUGCUGGUAUCCACGUCCUAGUUAGCAAAGGGGCGCGUAAAAUAGCACGUGUAGCACCAAGUCGCUUUCCCCUUCAUGCUGCCCGUCACUUUCCCCUUCACACCGUGCCCCCGCGGUUCUCGCAGCUCCCUCUGUCGCCGAUUUUCUAUAUCAUCCUGGGGCAAAUGCACAAGGGAAGGAAGGCGAUUCUCAUGGUGCAAGCUAACUACUCAAAUCCCCAAGGGUUAAGUUACCUGAGAUACGGGCUUGGUGUUCUUUUGAUUCCCUUUGACCUAUGUUCUUUCGAUUAGGGUUAGGGAUCUAGUGCUCCACCUGAAUGAUAUGGACAAGCUUGCUUUUAGAUUUCAUUAUGGUGGAGAAUUUUUCUUUUGAUGGGAAUAGUAUGCAAUAUAUCUCGCUGAGUCUGAAGGAAUGUCUUACAUAGGAGUAUCUUACGUAGAACAUGAUUUGAUUUCAUUACCUGAGAUUCUGACCCACCUGAAGGACCAUGUAGUGGUUGUGGAUGAUGUUUUGAUGCAUUGGUUAUAUCGUGGUAAAGAUCUAAACAAUGGGCUUAGGGUGCUGCCAACAUAUGAUAAAAAAAAUAUAGUAACUGAAAUUAUUAUGAUAAAAAACUAAUUGUUAGUAGUAUCUUAAUCCACAUCCUUGACCCUGAUGAUUGUGUUGCACCCCAAGUGGUAUUAUAAGUCAACAAAGAAUAGUAUUAAGAAAAUUCUCCGAAGUCUAUUAAUAUGGUUGGUGUGGUUGGACAUGUGAAUCAUAUAACUACAUUGUGGUUAUAUUCUGCAAUUGAAAUUUAGAAACCGUGUAGUUAUAUCCUACAUAUGGUUUCUAAUUUUAAUCGCAACAUAUAACUAGUAGAUUAAAGGUACAAAGAUAUAAAAACGGAUUUGAUUAUAUUUUGGAAUAAAUUUGUAUCCUAUUUAGAAUGCAUUUAAUUUGAGAACAACUUAUAGAAUGAAAAUGGUCAUAGUUUUUUAUUUGGAGGAGAUGAGGUUAUCCCUGUUUUCAUGUUUUUUUCCUUUCUCAUUCUCCUCUUUGAUAGUAAUGAGGGCUCGACAAGGUAUAGGACUGAGGUUGCUGCGUGCGUUGAUGUAUGUGGCAUAUUGGUCCAACAACUUAUAAAUGCUCAAUUUUAUCCAAUAACUUGGCAAAUUGGUGCACCUACAGUUCAACAUUACAACAACAACAUAUUUAGGAAAGCGAGACAUAUGAAUUUUCUUUCGGACAAUAAUUUCUAAUUUUUUUCAAUAAAAGUUGUUGAUCGUGACCAGGUUGUUGCUUCUCAACUGUGUGUAUAGCUUAUUUGUUCAUUAUUUACAUUUGAAUCUAAUUUUAAAUUUACGUCAUUGGCUUUAGAAAACAGAGAAACAAGGACAAAAACGACACUUUAUAAAUUUUAUCUUUAUUUAUUAGCCAUGCGUCCAAAUAUAUAUAUAGACUAAAAUUUAAUUCGAAAGUUUAGCUAGAGAGUUAGAGGCGAUGCGAUACACCACGGAGACUACCCGAGGUACCACAAACAAACAGUCACGCAGUGGGAUGCAGCACCACAAGCCACACGCAAAUGUUUCAAACGCGAGGAAAACAAGAAAUCUCCAAACCCAACAAAGAUGGGGUAACCGAACGACGAGCAAGACCCGCUCGCAGCUAAAACCCUAGCUUAGCGGCGCGGGCACGGAUGCCCCUCGCUCUCCUCCUCUCCCGCAUUCGCCUCUCGCCGGCCGCCAUGCGCACCACCCGCUCCGCCGCCUCCGCCAGGCUAGUCCGCGCCGACCUCAACCCAGGUGUUGUGAAAACCCAUUUUCUUGCCCUUUUAAUCUCAGCGGAUCUUCUUUUCCCCCUUUAAUAGCCCAUUGUUUAAGUUACGUACUAUUUUUCUUGCUCUAUUUACUUCGCCGUUAAGUCCAAAGGCUUUAUUUCGUUUAUCUAGUGGCGUAAGGACGGGAUUCCUCUUGAAAUGGUACUUAUUAUCCCCCAAUUUGCUCCGCCUGGUCUGUGCCUAAAUGUUUGCCGCAGAAAUUGCUAUCAAUUAGUGCCUAGGCUGCGCAAUUCGUUUAAUAUGUUGGGUGGAAUCAGUGUCCUACCUGGAUUAGCCUUUUCUUCGUGAGUUUAGGCUGCUCGUUUAUAUGAUGCAAGGGGGAAAUCGUUUUUUUUUCCCGGAAGUUCUUUUCAUAUAUAUUUCUUCUUUAAUUUGCUCUGGAAACAUUUGUUUGGUUUAUGUGGAUUGAACAAGAUGAGUGGGAUUAACACUUAUGAGUUAAUUUUUAAAUCUUUGUUCCAACUUCAAGUGUACAACAGCUAUCUUAAUCUUCCUACAGCUAUAUCUGACUGUCAGUACCUGUUCGUGAUUUUUUCAACAAUUUUAAUAUAGUUUAUGUCCUUGUCAAUAAAGCAUGUGUUUCAUCCCUUGCAGUUGUACGAGAAGUGAAACGUGAAUCCAGUAUUUCAUUUGACAUUUCCAAGCCUGAAUCACCUUCUGUUAAGAGGAAAAGGGUAAAGCAAGAGCUUGAAGAAAAUGGGGAGCAUCCUAAGAAGCAGGUGCUUGCUGAUAAUAUAGAAUGUGUUUACAUGAAUAAAUCAAUCUUCAUGUGUUUCUCAUUUUUCUUUCUGCACCAUUGAUUUAAAUUGUUUCUCUUGAGCCGUAACUCUUUGAUGCAAGUGUACCUUUUGUAUUUAGCUACAUUUAUUUGCUCAUGUUGUUACCUUAGUAUUAAGUUUCAUGCUCUCCUCAAUCGGAAAAUGUCCUAUGUAUAUGCAGGCUGGUAUUGUACCUGACAUUGAGGAUUUUCGAUACGACAAGACCAAAGCAUCGACAUCAUCAAGUAAGGCAACACCAGCUUUGGAUAAGAACAGCUGAUCAGAUAAUCUUUUUGAGUUUCUUCUCAAUGGUCUCUCAAGCCAAAUGUUCAAUAUGAGUGUGUACAUAUGCUUGGAUUACUUGCGGUUGUGGAGAAGCUAUUAAGGUUAAGAGUGUUUUUAGCACGGCCCUUGAUUUUCACAAUUGGGACUACUUUUUUCUUUCUCCAGUAGUCCAAGUCCAACUGGGUCUUUUAACUCGUAAAUGAUUUCAGUUAUUGGUAUUUGUCCAUACUUUGCUAUUAAUAUUUAUUUUUUGCUUCGUGGUACCUUUCAUCAGGAUAAUCUGCUUGCAAUAUUACAAUCUUGUUUACAAUAUCUGCCAUGUCUUGCAAAAAAGCUCUAACACUUGCCUUCUUCAGUCAAGGUGGAGAAAAAGGUCAGAGUUUCUUCAGUUAUAAAAGGUACUCGUAGGUCAUGUUCGUUUUCUUGUUAUCCCAUGUUUCCUUUUUGCAAGCUUAUAUCAAGGCAAGUCUAUUAGUGACAACAAUAUCUCCUUGAAGUUUUGGACUAAGAUUAUUGAUUAUUUUUCAUGUAAUGCUCACAUAUUUAUAUUUCUUUGGGUUACUAAAAUAAAGUCACUGGAUUGAAACUCUGUUCUUCUAGCAUGUGCCCAAUCUAGCCACACUGCCACACACCCACAAGUGGGGUCUUACAUGGUCAGGAUAUGUUGUGGGCUUUUCAUUUCUCAGUUUCCCAUACACAACUGUAUUAUCAUAAAGUCCAUAAUUUUGUUAUGUUUUGGAGCUAGAUUAUUUUCUUCAUGAUUUCCCCUUAUAGUAAUGCUAGACAAAAAAGACAAUCUUGUUACAGUUAAAGUAAUUGAUUAAAAACUUAAAUUAAACUUAGUGUUUCCUCAUUCCACACAUCAGUGCAUUUUUCCACCUUCGUCAUGUUGCGCCAUGGAAAACAAAUAUGUUAAGACCAGAUCUGUUGAUGGCUGUAUUAGGCAUUUAUUUCUUCUUCAUUUGAUAGGUAUCCUUCUUAUGUCCAUGUACCAUAAGAAAACUAAUGUAGCUAUUUGUGCAGUUGGAGCUCCAGAAAAUUGGGAGGCAGUUCUUGGGGGUAUUAAAAACAUGAGGUUAUCUGGCCAAGCCCCCGUAGAUACGAAGGGCUGUGAAAAAGCUGGUUCUCUCCUUCCACCCAAGGUAGUUUUUGUGACUAAAUCAUCUUUUCAACUAUAUAUUUUUUCUGUAAAAGAUCCAUUUUGGUAUGACACCAUGACUUGUCCCAAAUUUCUUUCAUGCUGGAUACUAGUGGAGCUCUUUGGUUAGGCCUUACAUAGGUAGCAUUGAAGUAGUGCAAUUCACCAGCCAAUCCUUGUGCUGUGUUACCGUAUAAAAAUAAUGCAGUUCUUUUUCCUAGUCUAGACAUAAAAGUUCAGUCUGUGCAUGAAUUUUGUGCCAAAUAGAUUGCAAAUUCACCACAUUUAUAGCUCUUUACUUAUUCACUUCUUUAUAGUAGAACUCAUGCCUUUUUUUUCUCAGGAAAUAAUUUUGUUUAUUCAACCCAUCUAGUUUAUCACUAAUUUUUCCAUUAGUAAAAGGUUUAGGUCCAAUUGUAUGGAAUGAAGUUAUGUGAAUCAUUUUCAUCCAUGAAUCAAUACUUCUCUUCCUGGACAGGAAAGAAGAUUUGCAGUUCUGAUAUCAACUAUGAUGUCAAGCCAAACAAAAGAUGAAGUUACGCAUGGUAUGCCUUCAAAAUUUCCUUAAUUGGAAUUGGUUAUGCCUGUUUGUUGAGAGCACUCAGUGACUCAAACAUCGGUACCAAUUAUCAGUUCAGUCAUAGCCAAAGGAAAUUCAGUACAGCAAACUUUGUUCCUUUUUUCUUUUUCUUUUUUUUUUUUUUUGGGGGGGGGGGGUGGCGCUUGAGAUUCUCUCUGGGCCCAGGAAAUCUUUUUUUUUAAAAAAUUUCAUUGCUGUUUUUGUACUAAAUCUAAAUACUUGUCCUUCAUAAACGCGCUGAAUUGCUGAUUGCAUUUUUGGAAUCAAUUCUUGUCAGCUGCUGUGGAACGUCUCUCUGAAAAUGGUUUACUUGAUCCUGAUGCUAUAGUCAGGACUGAUGAGGCCACGCUUGCAAACCUUAUCAAACCUGUAAGUUACAAGGGGUGUUCACCUUCAUCAUUCAUAUGUCAAUAAUUAGCAUGCUGGAUGGAUGUACCAAAAAACAAAUGAUGUUAGCAGCAUAGAACUGCUUUUGUUAUCACAUCAGGUUUGCAAAUACACCAGAAGUUACAUUAUCUGAAACUGAACAUUGCUUUAGGCUAAAGAUGCUUAGAAGCCAGAAGCUUACAAGUUUCUCAGAUUGAUGUCUCACACCAUAUUAUUCAUUAUUUUAUCAGGUUGGAUUCUAUCAGAGAAAGGCUCAGUUCAUAAAAGAAGCUUCUAAAAUUUGCCUUGAGCGUUUUGGAGGGGAUAUUCCAGAUUCUCUGAAUGACCUGCUUGCUUUGAGAGGAGUUGGCCCUAAAAUGGCUCAUUUGGUAAUAAUCUACUUAUACCAUUUGUGGUUGAAAUAUAAAUAAAAAUAUCUUCAUUGAUACCUUUCUUCAACUUGACAGGUGAUGAGCAUUGCUUGGAAGAAUACUCAAGGAAUUUGUGUUGACACUCAUGUGCAUCGCAUUUCUAACCGUCUGGGGUGGGUUUUCCGAGAAGGAACAAAACAGGUAGUUUGGAUUUGGUUUGUGUUUGCUUCUCUUCUUGUAAGAAAAUUACAUUACUAUCAAUUAUGAGGUUGGGGAAUAGCCCUUAUGUUGCUAUGUAUCAUGCGCAGAAAACUACAACACCGGAACAGACAAGAAUCUCUCUAGAGAAGUGGCUACCCAAGGAUGAGUGGGAACCCAUAAACCCAUUACUGGUAUUUUUCUACGAACUAUUUCUUAUUUUUAGCACUGCAGUACUUUUUUUCUUUGUUUAUUUAGGUUGAAGGCUUUUGUUCUAUGCUAUCCGAAUCCUUCCUUGAGUGCAGAAGUGCUAGUCUAUGCUGAAAAAAAACUGGAAAAUGUAUUGUAGGUUGGAUUUGGACAGACUAUCUGCACUCCACUGAGGCCCAAAUGUGACAUGUGUGGCAUCAAUAACCUUUGCCCUUCAGCUUUUAAGGAAUCAUCUAGUCCAAAUCCAAAGCAAAAGAAAACAAGGUCUCCAUAGAACUUUGUUGAUGACUGAUCUGGCACCGAAGGUAGAUAAUGCUUUUGGGUUGUCCUUUGGUGGUAGAUAUUAUUGGGCAUUCUUUUGGUUGAUCUAUUGACGUGUGAUCACCUUGGUGCGAGUACCAUUGGCAAACCAUGUAUCAUUUUGUAUAGCUGUAAUAUGUUCAAGAUGAUGGUUAGACUUAUCGUUCCUAUCAGUUACUCUAACGGCCUGUUUGGAAGGCAGGUUGUCGGUCCAAACAGACCUGAUGAAGACUUGCACAUGCCUGAACUGAAAAUUCUGCCCGUAUGGGUGGUAAACCCAAUUACAUGUUAAUGUUAAGCCUGUAUAUUCAGCCUUUCUAAAAGAAAAUCGUUUGUCUGGGUUCAUACUAAUUUUACGACAGAAGUCGGGCUGAAGGACCAUGAGUCCAUCUGCAAGGACAAUGAAAGCAAUAUGGCUCAGGAAUAGGAGAUUGAUUAGGGUGCAGGCCACCAGGGUUUCAUAUAUAGCUAGGGUCUUUAGGGUCUAUAGAAACACCACCAAUUAGGAGAUCCUAGCGAUAACAUCUGAUUAGGGGUGGUGCACGGCAACAGGCCUGUACGGCCAGCACCCAAAGGCCUAGCGAUAACAUCUGAUUAGGGGUGGUGCACGGCAACAGGCCUGUGCAAGGCCCAUAGGGCCGGCCAAGCUAACCUGUCUAACACACCCUGCAGUCUGAUCGUUGGGUUGCUGGACAUUCAGGCGUUGGGUCGCUGUACAUUCAUGCUGGAUUUGAACUCUGAAAACAUCGAGGAUCACUAGUUGAAAUCGUAGCUUCCAUGAAGAAUGACUUAUGUCACUGUGAAGGCCAAAUUCAUCGUAAAGGAAGUUUUGUGAUGAAUUUCAAUUCGUUAAAAAUCGAGCGUCAAGUUUGUAUUUCCGUGACGAAAUGAUCAAAAACGUCACAGAAUUGAUUUCAUCUAUGAUGAAAAAACUUUCAUCACGGAACCAUUUCCUGUUCUAUAGCGUGACGCGAAAAAGCGCGACGCAAAAACGUCAAAGAAUAUUCGGAUCCACAUGUCCCCGUUCAUGCUGGCAGCUAACAUGGCGCCGUCCACGCUGGCAAGUGACGUGGCUCGAAUACGCACGCGACAUGGCUUCGUCCACACUGGUAGGUGACGUGUCGGGCAGCACGUGUCGCAAAGAUGACCGCCACGUGGCUAGCUAACAUAAGGCCAUGUGUCGAGAUGAUGCAAGUCAACGUGUCAUUAUUCUAAGCACCCAUGUGUCUCCUUCUCGUAUCGACACGUGUCGUCUUUUCAAUCGGCCCACGUGUCAUUUUCUUACGUGUCCACGUGUCAUCUUCCUGUUUGUCCAUGUGUCCUUUCCUGUGUGUCCACAUGUCAUUUUCCUAUUGGUCCACGUGUCUUUUUUUUACAUCUCCACGUGAAAUUUUACUACUGGUCCACGUGUCAUUUUCCGGCUGUUCCACGUGUCAUUUUCUUAGAGGUCCACGUGUCUUUUUCUUAUUAGUCCACGUGUCAAUUUCUGAUCAGUCCACGUUUCCAUUUCUGUUUAUGAUAAAUGUUCUUUUAUGUUUUGCCCACGUGUCAGUUCCCGAUUAGUACACGUGUCAGUUUCUUAUUGGACCACGUGUCAGUUUUGGACCACCAUGUGUCUGUUCGUGGAGGUUAUACGUGUCCAUAUCAUGCAUAUCCACAUUCAUACAGAACCAUUUUAUCACAAAUCACCAAAUGAUACAACAGAGUUCACAGAAAUGUAACAACCAAAUAAGUUUAUGACACCACCGCAAUUAUUUAACUGACAGUUCAGUACCACAUAAGCACUGUUGGUUACGACAGAAUGCUAAGUACUGCUUAUAACACCACCGCAUUUAUUUAACUGCCAGUUCAGUACCAUAUAAGCAUAGGAGGUUACAAUGGAAUGCUAAGUACUGCUGAUAACAGUUCCACACACAUAGGAUCAGGGCUGAGAAGAGGCACAAGGGGUGUUCAGGUUCAAGAUCCUCAUAAGGAUGACAUUGCUCUGAUUUUGUUGCUUCUUGAGCUUCUCAUACUGUCUUUGAGUUCUCGCUAGUGCUUCCUCUGUUGCUUCAGUCUUCUUCUUUAGUUCUUCCACUUGUUGAUGUAGAAUAACUGAACCUUGUUUUUCAGAAGCAAGUUCUUGACAAAACGCUUCUUCACUAGCUGACUGAGACUUGGAGGAGUUUGUGGGUAUACCAUCAUUCUUCAAGAAAGUGGUGUUGGAGCUGUUCUAUGAGAGGACCUUGGAAACAACAUCAGCACUAGGCAAUGGUGGCUGCCCAUCAGCAACAUGUUCUGCCCGCAUAGUUUCUAUUGGCGCCUAUAAAAUGCAAAGGUGAACUAUUAGGAUACUAAUUAUAGUAAAAAAAAGAUUAAGUAAAUAAACUGGGAACAAAGGCAGACUGAAUAACUGCUACUAAAUAGUGUUAAUUUAACACACCACUGAAAGAUAGAGAAGCAAUGAAUGUUAAAACUAUAUGAUGCAGCGUGUGCAGAGAAGUGUUGGAGAAAGGACAAAAGUUUGAAGAAGGAUUUGAUAAAUGGUUUAUGAAUCAUGUAGGUUAAUGGCAUAUUAUCAUUUAUGGAAGUGACUAUCUUGUUGAGCAUGACAACAAAUAGAAAUUAAAAUUCUAAACGUCCAGCAAAUUAGCUAAUUCCUGGAAAAGCAAAUAAGUAUGUAUAGGACUUACAACUGCUUCUCUAGCCACGUCACUCAUACCCUUCUUGCAGUUGGUAUGGCAGACCUUGAAGGCUUCCACUGCAUCGACUUCUUCGUCAGCUUCAUCAACUUGUUCCUGGGGUUCAUCCUCGUUGACUUCAGCGUGUUCUGCAUCCUUGUUCUUGUUCUUGAAUUGAUGUACCGAGAAGGUGGUCAGAGAAACAACAAAACCAUAACAAUCAAGCAGAAACAACUGAUAAACACUAGACACCCUAAUAAUAUUUUGUUUUAUUGGUCGAAUGUAGAUGAGAGACAGACAAUCAAGCAGAAAGAAAGAGUGGCACUUGCUACGAGAGACAGAAUCAAGUGGAAGUGAGGCGUGUAUGUACUCAUUCAAGAAAGUAGAAGAAUGAAAAGGUUACAUUAGAAGACUAUUGACACUUACAUAUGAAUGUAAUUGUGCAACGUAGCAGUGAGAUCCUAUUGCUUGAGGCCACCUGACUCUAGCCCAACUUUAGCCCUGUUUCGCUUGUUCUGAUCAGAAACUGCUUGCAAGAGAUGUAUGUGUUAGUCUCUAUCACAAGUACAUACUUGAAAGCACACCAAGAGAAAUUACCUUGAUGUGUGUAGUUGACCACUUGUCAACAAGUUUACACCACUGUGCAUCAGUCAUGUAGGAGACAUGAGAGGUUGUGGGUAUCUCAUUAGCAGGGGUGCCAACGAAGUGUUCCUUCUUCAACUUAUACCACCUCUGCCACAUCCCUAACUUGAAUACAUUGACACAAGCAUCUGUUGUUGCCUUGUCCCUUCUGUCAAUUGCUAACCUCCCAGUGAUUAGAAUUGAAAUCCAGUUACACAAGGGCCAUAUAAGAGUUGAAUGUAAAAUAAGGAGUAGUAUAUAGGCACUCACAGAUGGCCUUCCAAGAAGCCCUCAAAAUGUUCAGUCUCUUCCAUGUAGUCUUUCCAAUGGGGAAAGAUUGGAACUUGAAACCUAACAAUAACACCAGCCUCUGAUGCAAACUUGGCAGCUUGCACCGGUUCAUGCGGCCUGGUGUUCCCCUCAGCAACAGAGAUGGGCAUCCUUCUCCCCAUAGCUUUGGUCAUCUUAUCAAGCAAAAUUCCCCUAGUUGUUGGCCUUGCCUUCCUCGGGCCACGUCUUUAUGUAGGUGCUGCAGAGAUUUCAUUCAAUUUCUCAUUAUUCAUCAAAUAUAAAACCAUCAGUGCGAAAAAGCUUGAGGGUCAACGAACCAACCUUCAGUUCUGGACUCCGACUGCCCACAGUCGGUAUUCUGACUGGUCUCAUCUUCAUUGAGGUCAGGAGCAUCAUCACGAUCUGCAUCAUAUGGAUAUGACCAGUCCCUUAGAGGACUUGAAUGAUUGUUCACAUUGUCAUCACCGCUAGUGUUUUUUGCAACUAAUGGCAAUUCUUCUUGCACAACAUUAUCAUCACCACUAGUGUUUUCUACAACUGCUGGCAAUUCUUCCUGCAUAGGAUUUUCACGUGGUCCUGAUGUUUGCAGCUUUUUCAGUAACCUUGUUGAAGCUCCAGGAGUGACCUCUGUUGGUGGGAUUGACCUCACCCUCUUGGAAUGUCUACCUCCAGGAGCUCCUAUGCCCAGUCUGCAUAGGGCCCUGCAGAUUUAAAAGCAGAAGUUGCAAGCAUGUGAACAAAUUAGAAGCACUUUUAAGCUUUGGAAAUAUCUAGUGCUCUUUCUAAACAUUGGAAAUAUCUAGUGCUCUUUCUAAGCAUCCCCCACCCCUCGCCAAGAUAGAAGAUGCACCUCAAUUGCUAGGGGUAUCGUCUCCUCUUCUAAUUCUGUAUCAUCAUCCAUCAUCAGACUCUUCAACUUUAGGGAUGUAAUCUGAUAAAUCAGAAACUCCAUCACGACAUGCAUCCCUGCUAGACCUUUUCCCCUUCUUGCCUGAACUUUCCCCCUUUUAAAGUAAUUUUUUUCUUGACAAUGAAUUAAAAGCUGAUGAUAAACCACUAAUGCCAUGUUCUUCCAUUCUUCUUAAAAAAUUCCUUAUAGUUGCUUCCCGUUCUCUUUCGUAUUCAUUUUGUGAAGGUUCUAACAUGCGUAAGAAGAUUUUAAGUAUUAGUGACCUAGGUUGAUUUUAUAUUCGUGACUGGAAUUAGAAUACAGACCCACUACAACCUCUGACCCCAAACCGUGGAUGAAUGUGUCACUACCUACAACCAUAGAAGGUAGAUGGAUUUUGCAUUCCUCUUGUUGCGGGGCGUCGGCGUCUGACCAUUGUUAAUCGUUGGGGUAGCUAUGAUGGUGAGGCUGCUAUGAUGUAGUGGUCAUCGUCGAUGUUGUAGCACAUCCGGUGCAACGGGUGUCGUCGAAGGGGUAGUAGAUCUGGUGCGGCGGUUGUCGUCAACGGGGUAGCAGAGUCGAAGAGGUAGCAGAUCCUGUGUGGUAGUUGUCAUCGAUGGGGUAGCAGAUCCGGUGCAGCGGUAGUCGUCGACGGGGAAGAAGAUCCGGUGUGGCGAUUGGGAUGCAGCUCCGGUGCGCUCAGCGUCGUCGACGAGGUUGAAGCUUCGGCGUGGUGGCCUUCGGUGGAGGGAAGGGGUCGAGUGCCGGUGCGUUGGAGCCUGCUGGCGCAGAGGUGAAAGGUGAGAGGUGGAGGCGAAAGGCGAGAGGUGGAGGCAGAUCUGAGGGAAGGGAUAGAGAAGGGGCAAGGGAUAUGGGGCACGGGAGGAUAUUGUCACAAAUACCCUUGACAGACAGGGUAGCGGUGUGGCUAUUGCUUGAGGGUCCAAGGGACAUUUCACCGGAAAUAUUUUUGGCUUCGGCGGCAGAGUUGGCGCCCAAUGAAAAUUUCAGACCGUGGUAUCCCACCGACCCAUGGACCCCACAUGUUGGUGUUCUUAGAAUUCCUUAUGAAUGCUGUGACCAUUUCUUGUGAACAAGACUGUUUCUCUUUUUAAUCUCCAAUUUGAAAUUUGAAUUAGUCUCUCUCCCUCGUUAAACAUCCAAAUGACUUGAUUCUUUUUGUAAAGUGCAUCUAAAAUUAAGCUCGAUCCAAUCGUUGCUCUGUGUCUAAUCUCUUUUCUAUGAAAAUGGAGUCUGUUUUGAAAUUGGCAUGGUUCUUUCACUCUAGCUUUGGUCAAACAUACUACUUCAAUACACUACCUAUAGUACUAAUUUGUUUUGAAUUAGUUUCUUGUGUUCCACAUGAUAGCUUAUUUAAUUCUACCCUAAUGGCCUCCUUGCGAUCUUGGGCGAAGCGAUGGAGUUUUUGCUUGACCAGCCGUGCAGUCUUGCUCAAGUCCAAGGAGUGCUCAGCUAGCUCCCUGGGGACAUCGGGCAUAUCGGAUGUGUUCCAGACGAAUAUGUUCGAGUUUUCCCAAAGGAAACUAGUGAGCGCGAGUUCCUAUUUCUCCGAGAGGUCGGUCCGUAUGAGGGCCAUCUUGGUCGGGUCAUUUAGGCUGAGGCAGAUCUUCUUGAUCCUGGGGUCGAGUUGCAGCGCCGUGGGCGUCGGCUCCGUCUCAGGGAUCGUUAGCUGGUCCUUGCUCAUCUUCUGGGCCUCGGUUACCAUGACUGUGGCCUUAGCUAAAAACUCUAGGGCUUCUGCGAGCUGAACUACUGAUGAGGACAUCACCUGCUCGGAUACAACCACAUUAGUAACUUUUGACUCAAAAGGUGAUACAAUUCUUUACCAUGAUUGUAUUUGAUACAUUUGAUGAAUUGAUGUUGCACCAUGAUGUGUGUUCGUUGUCAAUUUUAGAAAUACAUACGUGGAUCAAAAAUAGUGUUAAACAUACAUGGAAGGUAUGGAGGACCAAAGAAGUAGAUUGGGGGCCAAGUCCAAGUAUUCCCAACGUCCUCCACCAGGCCACCACAUCACUUUUGGCC
RNAcentral lists this long non-coding RNA (19362 nucleotides) under Setaria italica (foxtail millet). RNAcentral's name for it is "long non-coding RNA (SITA_LNC005840)". The record is from RNAcentral. Lineage: Eukaryota; Viridiplantae; Streptophyta; Magnoliopsida; Poales; Poaceae.